GGGGGGCAACACUCAUUUUGUUUCUGGUGUUGAGUUGCUCUGUUAUUGGGAUGGUAUCAGUUUCCUAUGUUGUGUUUGUCUAGCCACGAGGACCAAAUUUUCUCAAAUUUGUUUGGGCAUCCUCUUCUGACAUAUAGUAAUCUGUAUGUGGGCAUUGCUUGGUUGAUUUGGCUUACCCAGAAUUGUAUGGAUGGAGCUGAGUGGGCUUUCCAUUUCAUUGUGAUAGACUUACGAGCAUAUGCUAGUAGAAUAGAGAUGAGAGCUCUUUCCGCAGUUGUUGGGGCUAAAUCAGUAAUUUGGUUUAGUAGCAUUCCGGAUGGUGUUACCGUAAUGGGGGUGCUGGUUAGAUCAGAUAUAUAGUCCGCUACCUCUGUCCAGAAGCUCGCUAUUUUACUGCAAGUCCAGACCAUGUGGAUGAAGUCUGCUGGGGAUUGGUGGCAGCGGGGACAUUCGUCUGACUGGGAUGGGGAUAUCUUUGCUAGUACUUUGGGUGUGAUAUAUGCCCUGUGCAAGAAUUUAUAUUGUAUUAGCCUAUCCCUUGAGGCCACUAUAUAGUCAAAGAUUGAGUCAAGGGUUUCCUUCCAUUGCUCUUUGUUCAUGUCUGGUAUAUCUAUUAGCCAUUUGUUGUAGAGUUUGUUUAAUAAGGUAUCAUUGGCCAGAGCCAAAAGGGCGUAGGCGCGGGAGAGGGCCUUGGUGUGUGGACAGUUGUGUGCUUGUUCUUCUAUUCGGGAGGGGGUAGUUUGUAGGAUUG
Long non-coding RNA from Xenopus tropicalis (tropical clawed frog), 751 nucleotides. RefSeq lists it as uncharacterized. Lineage: Eukaryota; Metazoa; Chordata; Amphibia; Anura; Pipidae. The transcript is spliced from 2 exons. The record is from RefSeq and is a predicted model, not a curated record.